RNAcentral lists this microRNA (22 nucleotides) under Homo sapiens (human). RNAcentral describes it as "hsa-miR-6787-3p". Lineage: Eukaryota; Metazoa; Chordata; Mammalia; Primates; Hominidae. The record is from miRBase by way of RNAcentral.
UCUCAGCUGCUGCCCUCUCCAG